UGAAGAAAUAGCCCAAGAAAUGUUGAC
Molecule: small RNA, 27 nt
Filed under: Bombyx mori (domestic silkworm)
Lineage: Eukaryota; Metazoa; Arthropoda; Insecta; Lepidoptera; Bombycidae
Description: ovarian small RNA-30866
Source: RNAcentral